Long non-coding RNA from Zingiber officinale, 205 nucleotides. RefSeq lists it as uncharacterized. The record is from RefSeq and is a predicted model, not a curated record. NCBI's taxonomy places the organism in Eukaryota, Viridiplantae, Streptophyta, Magnoliopsida, Zingiberales, Zingiberaceae. The transcript has 3 exons.
CCUUCAUCAUGAUCAAGCCCGACGGCGUCCAACGCGGCCUGUUGAAAGGUUGGAGAAAUCAUUAGUAGGUUUGAGAAAAAGGGUUUCUACUUGAAAGGGUUGAAGUUGGUCGGCGUGGAACGCUCCUUUGCGGAGAAACACUACGUCGACCUCUCCACGAAGCCCUUCUUUGGUUGCCUUGUGGAGUACAUCAUCUCUGGUCCGG